UUUAUUUAUUAAUUACAUUGUACUAAAAUUGGAACGAUACAGAGAAGAUUAGCCUGGCCCCUGUGCAAGAAAAUUAUCUUUUAAAAGUUAAAUUGUAUCUGCUU
Ochotona princeps (American pika) is the source of this 104-nucleotide small nuclear RNA. The record is from RefSeq and is a predicted model, not a curated record. Lineage: Eukaryota; Metazoa; Chordata; Mammalia; Lagomorpha; Ochotonidae.